Molecule: signal recognition particle RNA, 98 nt
Filed under: Kordiimonas sp. SCSIO 12610
Lineage: Bacteria; Pseudomonadati; Pseudomonadota; Alphaproteobacteria; Kordiimonadales; Kordiimonadaceae
Description: signal recognition particle sRNA small type
Rfam family: Bacterial small signal recognition particle RNA
About the family: The signal recognition particle (SRP) is a universally conserved ribonucleoprotein involved in the co-translational targeting of proteins to membranes. Archaeal SRP consists of a 7S RNA and homologues of the eukaryotic SRP19 and SRP54 proteins.
Source: RNAcentral
CCGGGAGAGCAGGCGGACAAGCCCCUCGCCAAUCCGGUCAGGUCCGAGAGGAAGCAGCCGUAACGAGUCCGGUUUGGGUCGUUUUGUUCUCCCACCUU